AACGAACGUUGGCGGCGUGGAUUAGGCAUGCAAGUCGAGCGAGAUUCUAAUUUUUCAAUUCUUCGGAAGAGAGGCUUUAGAUGAGAGCGGCGAACGGGUGAGUAAUAAUGGGUAAUUUGCCUCUUUGUUCGGGAUAGCCGUCGGAAACGAUGAUUAAUACCGAAUGUGUUCAGGAACUUCAUGGUUCCUUCUAUAAAGGCAGGGAUUCUUCGGAACCUGUCGCAAAGAGAUAAGCCCAUUUCCUAUCAGCUUGUUGGUGAGGUAACGGCUCACCAAGGCUUACGGGUAGCUGGUCUGAGAGGAUGGUCAGCCACACUGGGACUGAGACACUGCCCAG
RNAcentral lists this ribosomal RNA (337 nucleotides) under uncultured bacterium. RNAcentral's name for it is "bacterial SSU rRNA". It matches the Rfam family "Bacterial small subunit ribosomal RNA", at positions 29 to 334 of the family's 1533-position model. The record is from RNAcentral.